ACUUCCCACUCUCAUCUAUUAUUGUUCUUUUUCUUGUUAUUUUUUUUCUACUAAACAAUAUUAUCCUCUCACUUCAUAAAUCAUUUACCUUUCCCUGAAAUAAUGAGAUUCACUCUCCUAAGCUACAACUAUGGUCUUCCACACACCUCUUAAAGAAAAGUAGGUUUCAAGUCCAUUUUGACUAGUGGAAAAGCAGGGAAAAACAAAUUCAACUCCAGUGAUCAAUAGGUAAGUACAUUCUUGUUUUCUCUAUACAAGAAAAUGAGAGAGAGGAGAAGAGGAACUUUUUUCUUGAGAAAAUAUGUGAUAUGAAUUUCAAAACUAAGAUAAUGAAGUUGAUGUGUUUGAAAAUUUCAUGAACUUAAGAUAAUGCACGUAUGAUGUGUAAACUUGUUUCAUUUUUCUCAUUAAAUCUCAUCAAUUUGACAUAUAUAUAAAAUUUUACUAAUUUAUCAACGAGCAUGGAUUAUAGAAAUUGUUAGAUCAUUUACAGAGUUGGCUCCUUCUGUACUGGUAGAUGGAUCUCCACUGUUGUAUUUUCUCUUUAAGAUAAAAGCAGGUUUCUUUGGAGAAGGAAGACUCACUUCACUCCCCAACAUGAAGAUGACAGUUGACAUGGUUGGACGAUCUGUCGGAUCCUCUUGAACACAUAAUAAUCCAAUUUGGAGGCAUCUUAUUAUGAUUUUGUAUCCACAGCUUGAUUCUUCCAAAC
RNAcentral lists this long non-coding RNA (712 nucleotides) under Cucumis sativus (cucumber). Its description in RNAcentral is "long non-coding RNA (CSAT_LNC000104)". Lineage: Eukaryota; Viridiplantae; Streptophyta; Magnoliopsida; Cucurbitales; Cucurbitaceae. The record is from RNAcentral.